Hemicordylus capensis (graceful crag lizard) is the source of this 1456-nucleotide long non-coding RNA. RefSeq lists it as uncharacterized. Lineage: Eukaryota; Metazoa; Chordata; Lepidosauria; Squamata; Cordylidae. The record is from RefSeq and is a predicted model, not a curated record. The transcript is spliced from 2 exons.
CUGCAGAGCUCUUCUCUCCCCGCCUCUCAGCUGAUCGGCGGGUGGGCGGGGCUUCCAGAGAGGCCUCCCAGUAGGCCUCCCUGAAGCCUGAACUCGAGUAGGCCCCAAGCAAGGAGGGAGGAAGCAGGCAGCAGACCCUCUGCCCAGACCAGCCCAUCCAGAACAGCUAUUGCUAGGGAUGGGAAGUGCACUCCUGUCAGGAUAUGCCAGUACUCAUGCAGCUGAACUUGGCUCUAAGCCUCCUUGAUUAGGAUUUCUGCAUUAAGACAAAAAGGGCUUUGGAGAAGCGAGCCAGAUGCAGCGUUGGAUAUGCCAGUAUUCAUGCAGCUUGGCUCUGCAUAUUGAAAACGAGCAUAUCUCCUAGCAUCCAACUGCUUUGAGGACAGCUACAUCAAUUGUCCAAGCAAGAGAGGACACGGUAGACUGGGUCCUUUGUUUCCUCCACCAAUGUGGAAUCUGUUCGAUAGAACACUGAAUGGCGAUGAUCGCACUAACAACCAUACCGCUGCUCAUAGUCGCUCGGAGGCUGCUCAUAGUCGCCUCCGAGCUGAAUUUGGAACGUGCCAUCCUACGAUCUGAAAGUUCAUUGAUGGCCUCAGAAAAGUGCAGAAGGGCAGAACAGCUCAUUUCAGACCACAGUCCUCCGGUCAAGUAGAAGAAAUACAGCAGAGCUGAUGAGCGUCUUUCAAAGAUUGUGUCCAAUUACGGCAAUAGAAGCCGCAUAGAAUAUUUGUGUGCCAUAGCUCACAAUUAUCAAAUAGCUUAACAAAAAUGUUCUUUGAUGUUUUACUAGUGCAUUUUUGUCACAUCAAGCAGAAAUGGGUCUAGGACAGUUCAGCUUGGUGCGUUGUUGUUCAUACAUUUUAUCAUCCAUGUAGCAUUGUUAUUUCCAGAGCUUGCAUAGCAUUAGCAUUUUAUUGCACUAUGGAAUUCCAUGCUAGUGUUUGGCUCUCCUUGUAAUUGGUGUGGUUUUCCAAAUUUGAGGGGCUGUUUAUGAACACUUACAGUUUCAUAAUUGGCUGUUAUUCUUAUGUCUAAAUUUACAGUGUUUGCUUGAAGUUAUAACUGUUUUUACACAAAUGAUUUGUAUGCAAACUCUAUGAUAAUGGGGGGAGGGGUUAUAGUCAUGCAGUUAUAUGGGCCUAUAAGUGGUGGUGGUUUGUUUAGUGUGGCUACUUAUUGAUUACUAGCAAAAUGCUAGUCUAGUCCCUGACCUCAUUCAAGAGGGCUGUACAAAUAUUGACCUUUCAUUAGGCUUUUAAUUUACUUUGUUUUUAGUCCCCUGUUUUAAGUUUAACUUGAUUUGUAUCAUUUGUGUUUUAGCAUGUUGGACCAAAUAUUUUCAUAUAACUGUUUAUGGGUUUGUUUACCCUUUUUGUGAGCUGCCUUCUGAUGUAUUGUAUCCCAGAGGUAGGAGGAGACAUCCUAUUAAACUCAAAUUCAAAUAAAGUAAUAA